This is a long non-coding RNA of Momordica charantia (bitter melon), 333 nucleotides long. RefSeq lists it as uncharacterized. Lineage: Eukaryota; Viridiplantae; Streptophyta; Magnoliopsida; Cucurbitales; Cucurbitaceae. The record is from RefSeq and is a predicted model, not a curated record.
AUUGAGCAUGAGUAGAUUACUGUUGUUAACAAUAACUCGGACUAACAUUUCCUUGGCCUCAUCAUGCUUCUUUCUCAGCAUAUUACAGAUCUGGCGUCUGCUUUUUCGACAUUUCGAUCAUUUUCCAGAUCCAAAGAUAUUUCCAAUUCCAUCGUAUUAGGAACGUGAGGGUUUUCAAUACUGGAGGCUAUGUGGUCAUGGGAAGCAUUGGAGGUCAUACCUUCCACCUGAUUUCACCAAAAAGAAAGAUCACAAACUCCAAUUCAUUGUGCAACCUGUUCUUCUAUCUUCUUCUCCAACGGCUCUUUGGAGUUUCUGCAAGUGAUUUGGGAA